UACGACUACAUAUCAGGCAUAUCAAUAAGCGGAGGAAAAGAAACUAACUAGGAUUCCCUCAGUAACGGCGAGUGAAGCGGGAAGAGCUCAAAUUUGAAAUCUUCAAGGUUCUACCUUGACGAAUUGUAGUUUAAAGAAGUGUUUUCUGUUGGAGUUUUGGUAAAAGUUCUUUGGAAUAGGACAUCAUAGAGGGUGAGAAUCCCGUAUUUGACCAUUAUUUCCAACUUUGUGAUACACUUUCAAAGAGUCGGAUUGUUUGGGAAUGCAGUCCAAAAUGGGUGGUAAAUUUCAUCUAAAGCUAAAUACUGGCGAGAGACCGAUAGCGAACAAGUACCGUGAGGGAAAGAUGAAAAGAACUUUGAAAAGAGAGUUAAACAGUACGUGAAAUUGUCAAAAGGGAAGCGUUUGACACCAGUGUUGUUUUCUCGAAAAUCAAUUAAAAAUGGCGGGAUUUUGUGUUGUAUUGACUUUAUCAGCUUUCUGCACUUUUUUCUUGUCUUUUUUAAUGCACUUUUCGUUUAACAAGUCAACAUCAAUUUUUUUUGUUGUAAAAGGGUCAUUGGAAGGUGGCUUUCACUUCGGUGAAAGUGUUUAUAGCCUUUGACUUCUGCAAUCGGAGAGAUUGAGGUCUGCAGCGUAGAUCCUUCGGGGUUAGGUACAUUUGUGCUAAGUUAUAGUUUUUCAUAGACAACAUGUUGACUAUGAUUAGUCAUUGUAGCUUACUCGCUUAUGCUAUUUUACCUACGCUUAGGAUGUUGACGCGCGUGUGUGCGUG
This 775-nucleotide ribosomal RNA is filed under the name uncultured Neocallimastigales. RNAcentral describes it as "partial large subunit ribosomal RNA". It matches the Rfam family "Eukaryotic large subunit ribosomal RNA", at positions 24 to 637 of the family's 3401-position model. The record is from RNAcentral. Lineage: Eukaryota; Fungi; Neocallimastigomycota; Neocallimastigomycetes; Neocallimastigales.